Molecule: ribosomal RNA, 253 nt
Filed under: uncultured bacterium
Lineage: Bacteria
Description: partial 16S ribosomal RNA
Rfam family: Bacterial small subunit ribosomal RNA
Source: RNAcentral
UACGGAGGGGGCGAGCGUUAUUCGGAAUUAUUGGGCGUAAAGGGCGCGUAGGCGGCUAGGUAAGUCAAAGGUGAAAUCCCUCGGCUCAACUGAGGAACUGCCUUUGAAACUGUCUAGCUCGAGGCCGGGAGGGGGUGGCGGAAUUCCCAGUGUAGCGGUGAAAUGCGCAGAUAUCAGGAGGAACACCGGUGGCGAAGGCGGAUCUCUGGGCCAUUACUGACGCUGAGGAGCGAAAGCGUGGUGAGCGAACAGG